This is a long non-coding RNA of Scophthalmus maximus (turbot), 3077 nucleotides long. RefSeq lists it as uncharacterized. The transcript has 7 exons. NCBI's taxonomy places the organism in Eukaryota, Metazoa, Chordata, Actinopteri, Pleuronectiformes, Scophthalmidae. The record is from RefSeq and is a predicted model, not a curated record.
ACCGGUGUGCAGCAGCACUUCACACGGAAUGUUUGAUGUGCAAUUAGAAGCAUCCGGAUCAUUGAUGUGUGUGUGUGUGUGUGUGUGUGUGUGUGUGUGUGUGUGUGUGUGUGUGUGUGUGUGUGUGUGUGUGUGUGUGUGUGUGUGUGUGUGUGUGUGUGUGUGUGUGUGUGUGUGUGUGUGUUUUCUUUUUUUAAUGAGGUUCUUUCAAUCAAUGCGUGCAGUCAUGUAGGCUUCUUGAAUGUGACGCCUGUGUGCCAGAAUAGAAGAAGAUCAUUUCCUUCUGAGUCCAGUCGGUCAAAGACAAACGUAUCGGGUGGUAAGACUCAGAAUAAGUGCCAACUGUCCACUGUGCCCUGGUCUUUAGAAGGUUCCUCAUUCACCACUGACUCAUAGAAACCAGAGGUAAACUCAUCUCUUUGUGUUAUAUUCCUCUUUUCACAUCUCAUGCUGUUGUAGAGCCGAGUGUUGAAAACCCUUCGUCUGCUUUCUUCUGAGUCUUUUCAUGGACCGUUCCUGACCACAAUCAAAAUGAGGCCUUUUUACAUUGACUUCAGAGGUGACCGUCUCUGAGCCCGUGAGGUCGUCAACAACAACCAGCUGUACUGUUUCAUCUCCUCAUGUCGGAUGGAUUUGUGAUUCUGCUCGGGGACAUGAAAACAGACCUGGAGUAUUGAUACACUAUUGUAAAGAUAUGUUUUAAUUAGGACUGACUUGGUCAGAGAUAGAUUAUGCAGACAGUACCGCAAGACGUAUCACACUGUUGUGGUUUUUUCUUUUCAUUUGAUCUGUGAGCUGUUCACUUCCCACUCCCUGAAGAUCGUGGGAAUCUGCAUUUUUCAGGUGUCACCUUUUGUCGGAGCGGUGACACCCAAGUUCAGAGACAUUGUUCUCACCUGGACAGGUGGAGGAAAUGCGACUGUGUGUGUGCGUGCGUGCGUGCGUGCGUGCGUGCGUGCGGUGACACUUGUCUUUAGCAGUGUGAAGAAACAGGCCUCAUCUUUUCUCUUUGUUCCGUCCCACUGUAGAUCCUCUUCUCAGCACCACGUGCGGUGAGGGGAUUUUAAAAAAAAAUGUGGUUCUGCUUCAUGUAGCACAGAAUCUGCUCAUCAGGGCGUGAGGAGCUGGCCGGCUCCGCCUCGCAGGUGUCGUUUAUUGGAUUACACAUCGAUGAGUCAGUGGGUCGGGCAUCCCGUUGUCGUCGGGCCUCCUCUCCCUUCAAACGAACGCUGACAGGCAAACAAAAAAAAGUACUCUUUUCCUGACUUGUUCCAGUUGUCAUCUCUCGUAGCAAACUUUGUCUUGUGAACACUUUGACGGCAGAGUCUUUCAUCUGCCAUUUAUCCAAAUGGAACUACACACCACUCAGGGGAUGCCGUGCAGAGCCCCCCUUUUAUUGUUCUACAGCCUCGUUGUCGCUGAAGUGCGAAGUGCAGACGUCGCGGGCCUUUCCUCCAUUAUGUCUUAUUCCUGUCUCCCCUCUCAACAGGCCAUUUCACUUAUUGCUCAUUUCCUGACACUCGCACUUUCAACUCUCUGUCUUCCCCUCGGCCUCGUUCCCCCCCGAUGUCCCAUCUCACCAGGUCCCCUGUUGAGACGCUGUCCUCGAGUGUCACGGAUGCCUCCUAGCUGUCCAGCGUCAGACGCUUGACAUGAGGGAAACUGGUGUUAAACACGGGUUGGACACUCAUUAAUGUCUUCAUCUCUUCAUCAGUCUGCCAGGCCUGGGUUUAUCCGCCUGAGCUGCCUGCGAUUCCUCUGUUUCACUGCUGAUCUUCUUCAUAUCUAUAAAAAGCUUCCUCCCUGGAGAGGAAGUGGCUGCCCCGGCACGUCAGUUUCUUCAGAAAGCGCCUGAAAGCUGCUGCUGCUCUGCUGCUCUGCUGCUGCUGCUCAGAUGGAAGUCUGAAGAAGUUCCCCUCCUGCGUUGGCUUUAGUUGGGCAGCAAAGGGAAAUGGAAGUUCCCAUUUCAUCUCCUGUCAGCUGCAGCGGACAACCCAUUAGUCGUACCCGUGGGGACGGUGCACAGCUGCCGUCACAUCGGCCCUCUGUUCAACAGAAUGUCCCCCUGCUCACUCAGCCCCGUGAGAAUGUGAUGUCACGGCUCUGAUGAGUGAUAAAGAAAUGUUGAGCGGCGGGACGGAAAGCAAUGCUGCAGAGUGGUCGUUGAACUAAAUAAGGACAACGACGCUGCACAUCGAAGCCUCGACGUCCACGCGUCAUCUACACGCUCAUUCUCUCUGCUGCAGAUGAGUUGUGUCGGCACGCACGGUGGACGUGUGCGGCCCGUCUCCUCCGCAGUGCAGCGGGAGUCCGUCCUGGGUGAACCGCCGUGGAGCCUUCAAAGAUGUUGUAGACGUCUCUGUUGUCAGACGGAAAGAAAGAAAAAGUAAAUCCUCCUCCUGGUUGAUUCUGUGGCAAACGGUACAACAUCUAUUCUCUGACAGAGGCUCCUGACUGAGAUCUUGUGUGCCCUGACCAGUAACAUGUACCUCAGCUGUCCCCACCCGGGUCAGACGUUCCCUGCAGAAUGCUGCUAACCCAGUGUUAAUGAGGCGCAUUCCUCAAAGGGACGUGUGGUAUUUUUUUUUUAAUAACGGAGGCUUCGUCCACAUCCAUGACUUCUGCUAUGUCCACGCCUGGUGUCCACACCACGCCACGAACAGCCGUGACAUGAAGGCGCCCAGCGCAGGUUUAGAUAGACCCACAUCAUUCAGGAAGUGGUUUAGCUAAUGCCCAACACCAUGACUCAAAGAGAGACGGCGAGAGAGGAGGCGUGAGGGGCCACACCUCAUGCUGACCCCACAGCCCCCCUAGUGGCUACAGCUGGACCUGCAGCCAAUUUUGGACCUAAACCUUCACAGAAGUUCAUAUCAGCGCAGUCAAAUGUGUCUAAUUCUACAGAUGUAGAUUUACUGGCUUUUCUUUUGUCCCUUGGAAACGCUUCACUCUUGACACAUGGCAGGAACAAUAAAUGUAUCACAUUCUUAUUGGAGAUAUGUUUACAUUGCUCGUCAAACUCCACGAGAGCAGUCCCUGAAAUUCCAGGAUUCUUAUUAAAUAAAAGUUGUUGUUCUUUC